UUUUCUCAAGAAAACGUACGAGGGAGGAGGGCUGAGCAAUAUCGAACCCGAAAAUUGGUGCUUUCCUGUGGAAAGUCGCAUCAGUGCUCGUAAAGUAAAAUAUCCACUCGAUCAGAGGUAAAGUACAGUCGUCGGGUGUUCUACGAAACGCCUGCUCACGUUUGACACCAACAUCGCGUCUCGGAAACGAAAAUUCAGCCUCGGAGGUCCGAACAAAGGUUUCUAAAAGUAGAAAUGGCCGCCAUGACCGUGCCCACGGUAAAAGCGUCGUAGCAUCGCGAAAACUUUUAUUUCACACGUUCAAAGUGGUGUCCGUAGAGUCUAGAAAGACCAAGGAACACAUCGGUGCUAGCGGUGAUGAGAUACGACCAGUAUUAAUGAAGGGAGAUCAACGAGAAUGCUUCCCUUAAUAAAUAGUGCAAAAAAUAAACAAAAUAAUAAAGAAAAAAAUACCCGAUGCGAGUGGUGUGUCUGCCCUCCACCAGGCGGCGCGAUCCCCUUCCCGACUUUUUUCCUUCUCUUUCCCUCUCCUCCUCGCUCAUCCUCCUCCGCUUUCCUUUGUUCCCAGAGGCCGGCCCCAGUGUGGUUUCCGUUGUGCUUGGGAGCAGUCGCGUAGUCGCCCGUGUCCAGCUCCUUCUUUGUUCUUUGUUCCGAAAUCGGUCUUCUUCUUCGGACCCCGAACGUCGCCUCACGCUUCCUGCCUUCGUCAAAGGGCCUCCUUUCGUUCGACACAUUGGGCGCAAGAGCGAGUUGCACGGCUGGCCCUCCGUUUCAAGUGACCUCCUUCAGCUGCGGAUGACCUGUGCUUAAUCAAGACCGCUUGAAUGGCAACUGAGAACUUGCUCCAAGCAAAAAGUGUUUUUAUGAAAUCGUGUUAGCUCGUGCGAAUUCACUGAAUAGGAACAAGUGUGUUUUCAUCGAGACAGCUCUCGUCUGCAAACUUGCAUUGUCGGCCUAAUAAAGUGUGAGGUUAUUAAAAUGUGAGGUAAAAAAGGAAAAAUCUGUUGUUUUGUGUUUUGCUGGUGAGGACGAAGCCCCUGCUGUGCACACCUGCGGAAACGAAGUAAGUCCCUUAUCAGUUUGUUCAGAGAUUUGAUUUUUUCCCGUGGUAAUCGUGAAAAA
Molecule: long non-coding RNA, 1122 nt
Organism: Ixodes scapularis (black-legged tick)
Lineage: Eukaryota; Metazoa; Arthropoda; Arachnida; Ixodida; Ixodidae
Exons: 2
Source: RefSeq, a predicted model, not a curated record